ACUCCUACGGGAGGCAGCAGUGGGGAAUAUUGCACAAUGGGGGAAACCCUGAUGCAGCCAUGCCGCGUGUGUGAAGAAGGCCUUCGGUUGUAAGCACUUUCAGUAGGGAGGAAGGUAGUGUAGUUAACACCUGCAUUAUUUGACGUUACCUACAGAAGAAGCACCGGCUAACUCCGUGCCAGCAGCCGCGGUAAUACGGAGGGUGCGAGCGUUAAUCGGAAUUACUGGGCGUAAAGCGCAUGCAGGCGGCCUGUUAAGUCAGAUGUGAAAGCCCGGGGCUUAACCUCGGAAUUGCAUUUGAAACUGGCAGGCUAGAGUCUUGUAGAGGGGGGUAGGAA
Molecule: ribosomal RNA, 338 nt
Filed under: uncultured bacterium
Lineage: Bacteria
Description: bacterial SSU rRNA
Rfam family: Bacterial small subunit ribosomal RNA
Source: RNAcentral